This 1292-nucleotide long non-coding RNA is filed under the name Homo sapiens (human). RNAcentral's name for it is "HSALNT0073138". Lineage: Eukaryota; Metazoa; Chordata; Mammalia; Primates; Hominidae. The record is from RNAcentral.
UAUAAUUUUAAAAAAAGCCUUGUUUUAUUUAGAAAAUCACAGUCAAAUUUUGUGCUGAAGGAUGAAUAGCAUUUCCAGAAGUAAUGUUUUCAACUUGCAAUUUCUUUUCAUAUGAUUUUGGAGGGAAAAAAAUAUACAUAAAUAAGAAACCACACAAAGAUCAUCUCAGACAAUGAGAGGCAAAAUAUAGGACAUUCCUCAGUUUGUUGGAUGAGCCUGUUUGUUGGCCUGCAUCCUUCCUGAGGCUGCUAGCUUCAUAAGAGAAGGGACAGCAUCUGUUUUGCCUCUAUUGUUCCAUCACUGCCAAGUCUAGUGCCUGGUUUAUAAUGAACUCACAGCACAAUUUCCUAACAUGAGUAUUGCAUCACAGUCUUGCUUUGUUCUCCCCUUUUGUCUGACAGCUGAGGAGCAGAGCUGCCACAGGCUUGCUGUGCAGGGCGUUGAAGGUGAAAGCUGAGAGGGAGACGAGCUGCUUCCCUGCUUGAGAAAUAUUAUAUUAAUUUUUCAUGGGGUUUUACAUCUCAUAAUAAGCUACUUGUGUGAUGAUCCAUUUUCAUUUUUCAUUAGGAUGUCCUCUGAAUUCCCUUUUUGCUCCUGAUAGGGUUUCACACAUUGUUAAAAAUCUCCAUGGACUAAUUUUGCAACCCCCUGGAUCAUAGUCAGCUCUUCACUGUAGGGUCUUUAUGUCCACAAGUGGACCCUUCAGGUAUGAGAGGCUUCAGUUUUAAUGGACUCCUAAGACAUUAGCUCUCUCACUGUCCACCUUUAUCUCUGCUGUUUGCUCCGGCUCUGCAGCUCCUCUCAGCAGCCGGCUCCCACGCACAGCUGCACAGCCAGUCUGCAAGGUAAGCUCUCCCUUACAGUUUUAGCAGCUCAAUUCUUUCCCUCUGGGCACAAGCUGAUUCCUGGCUUCCCACUGCCCCCCUUCAAGGUGACCAGCUCUUCCUUACACUGGUCAGUAGUGCUGAGAGGUGACAGCGUGCUGGCAGUCCUCACAGCCCUCGCUCGCUCUUGGCGCCUCCUCUGCCUGGGCUCUCACUUUGGCAGCACUUGAGGAGCCCUUCAGCCCACCGCUGCACUGUGGGAGCCCCUUUUUGUGCUGGCCAAGGCCGGAGCAGGCUCCCUCAGCUUGCAGGGAGGUGUGGAGGGAGAGGCAAGAGCGGGAACCCGGGCUGCGCGCGCGCUUGCGGGCCAGCUGGAGUUUCCGGUGGGCGUGGGCUUGGCGGGCCCCGCACUCGGAGCAGCCGGCGGGCCCUACCGGCCCCGGGCAAUGAGGGGCUUAGCACCCGGGC